RNAcentral lists this long non-coding RNA (604 nucleotides) under Marmota monax (woodchuck). Lineage: Eukaryota; Metazoa; Chordata; Mammalia; Rodentia; Sciuridae. The record is from RNAcentral.
CCCAUGAACACUGCAUGAUGAUAUUAUCACUUCAACUCUCCUUGUUAAAACUUUGCCAUUCAUUUCUGCUCCAUGAUCAUUUACCAAUAUAUGCUCAAUGUAAUCUUGUAGGAUUUGUUGUUCUAACCUGGCUUCUGUGGGUUCAACUCUGAAUGGAACAGGAUGUUUUCAGUGUCAGCCUGGUUAGAUGUAAUAUAUCAUCAGAUGCAUUUCAGGUGUCACAUCCUCCAGGGGUCCUUCCUUGAUCCACAGUGGGAAGCCAUCUCUCCUCCAUCUGUGCAUCCCCAGACUUCAAUUGUACUUCUCACUGCCUGGCAUCUCUGGCAAUUGUGUAGGUUCAUUUCUUCUUUUAAAUUUGUAAAAGUUUGAGAGCCAAGCACAUGCUUUUUAAGUCUCUGUAUCCCCAGUAAAGUGUCUAGCCUAUAUGUAGUAUGUUCUCAAUAAAAACUUGUGUGGAAUUUAAAUAAGGUUUGUAGGGUUUUUUGUUUGUUGUUUGUUUAACUCUCUUCCUUCCUGACACCUGUGUUGUACUUAAGACAUUUGAGUCUUGUUUGGCCAGGAGACUUUGUGCUUUCUUAGUUCUACAUUCUUUUCUGAGUCUCUG